AUAUGACAGAUUUUAGAACAAAAUUAGCUGUCAUUUUAGUCGACUCGGAAUUCAAUGAUGACAAUAUAAGAAACCGAGACAUGGAUGAUGAUGAAACCAACACGGAUCCCAACGAUUGUAUGAUUGUUGAAAGACCUCCUAACAAACCGAGAGCAUCCAACUCAUCGUCACAAGUUGAGCUCAUGUCGCAAUCAUUUAUCCUUUCACCGUUUGUCACUCCAACAAACGACAACUUAAUAGAUGAACUUUGCUUGUUCAUCAGCAUGGUUGAUGAUAUCCCGUUGCUAGAGAGCGAAUGGGUGAAAAGCUCUCAACCUUAUCCUAUUAGUUUAAACCUGAGACAAUUAAAGAACAUAUUAAAAUAUGAUGAGUACAUGGAUGCCGAUUGUUUUAACAUGGCUGUGAGGAUACUAGCAUGCCACGAUGCCCAGCUUGCUAGAGAUGUGCCAGUGCACUAUAUGGAUCUAUGAUUCUGUGUAAGUUAUUUUAAUCACAUUUUACAUUUUGCCUCAAUUCUACUAAUGUUUUCUUACAUUAUUGUAGUCCAUGUCCCACUAUGCACGAAUCCCAAGUCAUCGUGACGGUAUGGACAUUGCUAUGUCGGCACAACUGUUUGAUAACUGGCCUGACAGCAAUGAGUAUCAUAUCUCAGAAUGUGAUACGGUAAGAUUUGAAUUCAAAAUUAUUGUUUAUUUAGUUUUAAUGAAUGAUAAUGAUUGAUGUAUUUCUGAAUGCAUGCAUCAUUGUAGAUUUUAUUGCCUUGUGAUAUUCUUGGGUUAUUUUUAUUGUUCGUCUUGGACCAACAUAAAAAGGUUGUUUCUAUUCUGGACCCGCUUUCAAUACCUACUUUCGGAAAGCAUAUAUUUAAAACUAUGGCCAAUGAUCUAAACCUUGCACUCCAAGUUGCAAACCCUGCCUUCAAGGAUGACAUUUUAAUAUGGGGAUGCAAAGUUCCUAAUGUUCCCACAAACUCAUACGGUCCCAUGUCUGAUUAUUUGGUUUUCAAUUUAAUGCACUCAUGGCACGAUGAGACGCUACAUUUUCCGGUACCCAAGGAUGAUUUUGAACUGAGGAAGCGAUUUUUGGUUCAUAUUUUGAAGUAUGAAGAGAAUGAAGUUCUAAACAAUAUCCCAGUCUUAGAACGAACCAUUAUAGAUCGUAUCAAAAGAUGGACCUUCCAGAGAGGAUCAUCAUCAAAUAAUGAUUACUAGAUAAUGUUGCUUAGUUGUUAUUUUUAAGUAUUUUUGUAAUAAGUAACAUUUACAAUA
Non-coding RNA from Triticum urartu, 1268 nucleotides. Lineage: Eukaryota; Viridiplantae; Streptophyta; Magnoliopsida; Poales; Poaceae. The record is from RefSeq and is a predicted model, not a curated record.